This 359-nucleotide ribosomal RNA is filed under the name uncultured bacterium. RNAcentral's name for it is "bacterial SSU rRNA". It matches the Rfam family "Bacterial small subunit ribosomal RNA", at positions 29 to 416 of the family's 1533-position model. The record is from RNAcentral.
AACGAACGCUGGCGGCAGGCCUAACACAUGCAAGUCGAACGCUCCGCAAGGGGAGUGGCGCACGGGUGAGUAACACGUGGGAACCUACCUUCUGGUACGGAACAACCAAGGGAAACUCUGGCUGAUACCGUAUACGACCUCCGGGUGAAAGAUUGAUCGCCGGAAGAGGGGCCCGCGUCCGAUUAGGUAGUUGGUGAGGUAACGGCUCACCAAGCCUGCGAUCGGUAGCUGGUCUAGAGAGGAUGACCAGCCACACUGGGACUGAGACACGGCCCAGACUCCUACGGGAGGCAGCAGUGGGGAAUAUUGGACAAUGGGCGCAAGCCUGAUCCAGCCAUGCCGCGUGAGUGAUGAAGGCC